This 518-nucleotide long non-coding RNA is filed under the name Gallus gallus (chicken). RNAcentral describes it as "lncRNA (ENSGALG00010010207.1)". The record is from RNAcentral. Lineage: Eukaryota; Metazoa; Chordata; Aves; Galliformes; Phasianidae.
CUUGAGGCAGAGCUGUCUCAGAGCCCUGCCAUGGCAGCUGGCUGGCUGCCGACGGAGGGGCAGCAGGUUAACAGCGAUGAGACAGCCCUUCAUCCCUCCCUCCUUGUGGCUUUCCCUGCAUGUUUGUCUUUGUAUAUAUUGGCAAUCUCCUGGAGCAGUGACUCUCCUGACUGGUUCUCAGUGCAUAUAUUUUUAAGAGAAGACAGAAGGAGGAGCUAUUUGCGGUGGCUUCCUGAAAUUAUUGCUGUUCAGCUGCAGAGCAGAGAUAACAUGGAUUCCCUCGAUCUCAGCCAUUCAUCUGCAUGUGUUCUGCAAAGAAGUCAAGGGAGAAGCUGUUCACUUCAAGCUCAUAUCCAGUGCUAUGUCAUCAAAAGCUCUGAUAUCUGCAAGGAUCAGUGAUGUCAGAGUGCAGCUGAGCUGAGCUUGGUUCCAGAAAGGGAUUCUGAUUACUCCUGCAAAGAACCUGUACUCCAUCUACUAUGGCAAGAUGAUGAAGAAACAGACUCACCAGCAUAUUU